UCGAACGGCAGCACGGGAGCUUGCUCCUGGUGGCGAGUGGCGAACGGGUAAGUAACAUAUCGGAACGUACCCAGUCGUGGGGGAUAACUAUCCGAAAGGAUAGCUAAUACCGCAUACGUCCUGAGGGAGAAAGCGGGGGAUCGCAAGACCUCGCGCGAUUGGAGCGGCCGAUAUCGGAUUAGCUAGUUGGUGGGGUAAAGGCUCACCAAGGCGACGAUCCGUAGCGGGUCUGAGAGGACGACCCGCCACACUGGAACUGAGACACGGUCCAGACUCCUACGGGAGGCAGCAGUGGGGAAUUUUGGACAAUGGGGGCAACCCUGAUCCAGCCAUUCCGCGUGAGUGAAGAAGGCCUUCGGGUUGUAAAGCUCUUUCAGCAGGAACGAAACGGUCGGCUUUAAUAAAGUCGGCUAAUGACGGUACCUGCAGAAGAAGCACCGGCUAACUACGUGCCAGCAGCCGCGGUAAUACGUAGGGUGCGAGCGUUAAUCGGAAUUACUGGGCGUAAAGCGUGCGCAGGCGGCGACAUAAGACAGAUGUGAAAUCCCCGGGCUCAACCUGGGAACUGCGUUUGUGACUGUGUUGCUAGAGUGUAGCAGAGGGGGGUGGAAUUCCACGUGUAGCAGUGAAAUGCGUAGAGAUGUGGAGGAACACCGAUGGCGAAGGCAGCCCCCUGGGUUAACACUGACGCUCAUGCACGAAAGCGUGGGGAGCAAACAGGAUUAGAUACCCUGGUAGUCCACGCCCUAAACGAUGUCGACUGGGAUGUUGGGCACACUUUGGUGUUCAGUAUCGAAGCUAACGCGUUAAGUCGACCGCCUGGGGAGUAUGCGCGCAAGCGUGAAACUCAAAGGAAUUGACGGGGGCCCGCACAAGCGGUGGAGUAUGUGGUUUAAUUCGAUGCAACGCGCAGAACCUUACCUG
Molecule: ribosomal RNA, 924 nt
Filed under: uncultured bacterium
Lineage: Bacteria
Description: bacterial SSU rRNA
Rfam family: Bacterial small subunit ribosomal RNA
Source: RNAcentral